Molecule: ribosomal RNA, 986 nt
Filed under: Triticum aestivum (bread wheat)
Lineage: Eukaryota; Viridiplantae; Streptophyta; Magnoliopsida; Poales; Poaceae
Description: partial small subunit ribosomal RNA
Source: RNAcentral
GGCGCGAGCAGCCCUGGGAAGCGCCUCUAGCGCACCGCAUCUGCAUGCGUGGUUUGUCUGCCCUGGCAGUGCCGGGCCCUAAGAAGGGGGUGGGCCGGGCAGUGGUUGGCCGUAUUUAUGGGUGGCGAGGGUCCUUGCCUUGGUUGUUUAGGGGUGGGUUAGAGCAGAGGCUAGCUGGGCUCCGAGCAGCUUGGGAAGAAGGGGUGGCGGAGUUCUACGUCUAGAAGCACUUCUGUGAGUGCCCGUUCUGGUAGUGGGAACUCCACCUCAGCAGACUGUGGUAGCUGUUGCACUUCCGGUUCUAGGUCCUGUUCCUCCCGUAAGGGGGCCUGGUCGUCGCGGAAUAGAAGCGACCGUUCGUCGACCUCCUGCCAGCGUGGGAACGGCUGAUGUUGUAGGUCUUCCUUAGGUGGGAGGUGGACCACGAGGCGGACGCACCACCGUACGUCUAGAAGCACUUCUGGGAGUGGCCGUUCUGGUAGUGAGACCUCCAACUAUCGAGGCUGUGGUAACUGUUGCAGUUCCGAUUCUAGGUCCUGUUCCUCCCGUAAGGGGGCCUGGUCGUCGCGGAAUAGAAGCGACCGUUCGUCGACCUCCUACCAGCGUGGGAUCGGCUGAUGUUGUAGGUCUUCCUCAGGUGGGAAGUGGACCACGAGGCGGAGGCACCACCAGUCAUUAACGGGAUAGCAAACUGGACGACGACGACGACGACAUGGGACACAGCGGAAACAAGUUCACUACAGAGCAAACACACUUCAGCAUGACACAGACGACGAAAUUACCUGGUAGCUCAGGACACCAAACCACGUUUGUCAACGUCCAUGUAGACAUGGCAAUUCAUACUUAUUCAGUUGAAACUUCAUUACACGGACACGAGUAAACGGAAACGUCAAGAACAGACCGAUAUACACCUAAAUACUAGCGGAAAGACCCGACAUCUAGGAUCAAAAACCUAAGACUUACUUACAACUACGCUUGAGCAAUCC